This 497-nucleotide ribosomal RNA is filed under the name uncultured bacterium. RNAcentral's name for it is "partial 16S ribosomal RNA". It matches the Rfam family "Bacterial small subunit ribosomal RNA", at positions 28 to 507 of the family's 1533-position model. The record is from RNAcentral.
GAUGAACGCUGGCGGCGUCCCUAAUACAUGCAAGUCGAGCGAACGGACGAGAAGCUUGCUUCUCUGAUGUUAGCGGCGGACGGGUGAGUAACACGUGGAUAACCUACCUAUAAGACUGGGAUAACUUCGGGAAACCGGAGCUAAUACCGGAUAAUAUUUUGAACCGCAUGGUUCAAAAGUGAAAGACGGUCUUGCUGUCACUUAUAGAUGGAUCCGCGCUGCAUUAGCUAGUUGGUAAGGUAACGGCUUACCAAGGCAACGAUGCAUAGCCGACCUGAGAGGGUGAUCGGCCACACUGGAACUGAGACACGGUCCAGACUCCUACGGGAGGCAGCAGUAGGGAAUCUUCCGCAAUGGGCGAAAGCCUGACGGAGCAACGCCGCGUGAGUGAUGAAGGUCUUCGGAUCGUAAAACUCUGUUAUUAGGGAAGAACAUAUGUGUAAGUAACUGUGCACAUCUUGACGGUACCUAAUCAGAAAGCCGCGGCUAACUACGUG